GUCUAUGGCCAUACCACCCUGAAUGCGCCCGAUCUCGUCUGAUCUCGGAAGAAACCAACUACUUUGGUUAGCUUUAGGGGCGAGAGAAAUGGGUGUGAAAGGGGAAUACCAGAAGUA
RNAcentral lists this ribosomal RNA (117 nucleotides) under Otolemur garnettii (small-eared galago). Lineage: Eukaryota; Metazoa; Chordata; Mammalia; Primates; Galagidae. The record is from RNAcentral.